GCAAGUCGAGGGGUAUCAGGAAAAAGCUUGCUUUUUUGCUGACGACCGGCGCACGGGUGCGUAACGCGUAUACAAUCUACCUUUUGCUGAGGGAUAGCCCAGAGAAAUUUGGAUUAAUACCUCAUAGUAUAUUGACCUCUCAUGGGGAUAAUAUUAAAGGUUACGGCAAAAGAUGAGUAUGCGUCCUAUUAGUUAGUUGGUGUGGUAACGGCACACCAAGACAGCGAUAGGUAGGGGCCCUGAGAGGGGGAUC
This 253-nucleotide ribosomal RNA is filed under the name uncultured bacterium. RNAcentral describes it as "partial 16S ribosomal RNA". It matches the Rfam family "Bacterial small subunit ribosomal RNA", at positions 57 to 305 of the family's 1533-position model. The record is from RNAcentral.